RNAcentral lists this ribosomal RNA (324 nucleotides) under uncultured bacterium. RNAcentral describes it as "bacterial SSU rRNA". It matches the Rfam family "Bacterial small subunit ribosomal RNA", at positions 28 to 334 of the family's 1533-position model. The record is from RNAcentral.
GAUGAACGCUGGCGGCGUGCUUAACACAUGCAAGUCGAACGAAGCGCUUAAGCUGAUUUCUUUGGAUUGAUUCUUGAGUGACUGAGUGGCGGACGGGUGAGUAACGCGUGGGUAACCUGCCUCAUACAGGGGGAUAACAGUCAGAAAUGGCUGCUAAUACCGCAUAAGCGCACAGUACCGCAUGGUACAGUGUGAAAAACUCCGGUGGUAUGAGAUGGAUCCGCGUCUGAUUAGCUAGUUGGUAAGGUAACGGCUUACCAAGGCAACGAUCAGUAGCCGACCUGAGAGGGUGACCGGCCACAUUGGGACUGAGACACGGCCCAA